Molecule: non-coding RNA, 128 nt
Filed under: Bacteroidota bacterium
Lineage: Bacteria; Pseudomonadati; Bacteroidota
Description: Bacteroidetes bacterium SAM-I sequence
Rfam family: SAM riboswitch aptamer (S box leader)
About the family: The SAM riboswitch is found upstream of a number of genes which code for proteins involved in methionine or cysteine biosynthesis in Gram-positive bacteria. The SAM riboswitch acts at the level of transcription termination control.
Source: RNAcentral
GAUUUAUAAAGAAGAAGUGAGAGAUUAGGCUCUAUGACCUUCUGGCAACCAACUAAAAGCCCUGAGUUUAUCGAAGGGUUGGAAAACAGGUGCCAAAUCCUAACCCGAAUGUUCGGGAGAGAUAAAUA